Long non-coding RNA from Prunus dulcis (almond), 551 nucleotides. RefSeq lists it as uncharacterized. The transcript has 3 exons. The record is from RefSeq and is a predicted model, not a curated record. Lineage: Eukaryota; Viridiplantae; Streptophyta; Magnoliopsida; Rosales; Rosaceae.
CUUGAAGAGUUUGGGAAGUAUCCAUGGGGUGCUGUGUCUUAUGCGAAGACAAAUGCGUCACUGCUGAGGGCACUUUGUGCAGAUUACCAGCGAGUGAAAGUGCCCACAAAAACUGCAAAAACAAAAAAAAUCUGGAAAGAAACCAACAACAACGGCAACCGGUAGACCAAGAGAGUACCACCUCAAAGGUUUUGCCUAUGCACUUCAGAUUUGGGCGUAUGAGGUAUUUCCAGCGUUGGCUGCACUACAUUUGGUGGUGCACGAAGAUAAUGCGUACAUCCCUCGUUUACUACAUUGGAGGAGCAAUAGUUCGCCGCGUUUUUAUGAGCUAAUGAGCCAAGUAUUCGAGAACCGUGAGGUUGAUGUGCAGCUUCUCCGGCCAUCUGUAAUGGACAAGCAGCAGCCGUAUUGGACUUGGGGUGACAGUGCUGACAACACUGAAGAACUUGUUGACUUGUUGGGCGAUGACGCUGAACAAAAAACCGGCACUUCUGCCUCUGUAGAAGAAAAAGAUAAGGACAUUGACGAAACUGCAAGCCUUCCGUCGUCUU